UACAGAGGUCCCGAGCGUUGUUCGGAUUCACUGGGCGUAAAGGGUGCGUAGGUGGCCGGGCAAGUCCGAUGUGAAAUCUCCGAGCCCAACUCGGAAACGUCAUUGGAAACUGCCCGGCUCGAGGACUGGAGAGGGGACUGGAAUUCUCGGUGUAGCAGUGAAAUGCGUAGAUAUCGAGAGGAACACCAGUGGCGAAGGCGAGUCCCUGGACAGAUCCUGACACUGAGGCACGAAAGCUAGGGGAG
RNAcentral lists this ribosomal RNA (245 nucleotides) under uncultured Verrucomicrobia subdivision 3 bacterium. Its description in RNAcentral is "partial 16S ribosomal RNA". It matches the Rfam family "Bacterial small subunit ribosomal RNA", at positions 524 to 768 of the family's 1533-position model. The record is from RNAcentral. Lineage: Bacteria; Pseudomonadati; Verrucomicrobiota; Verrucomicrobiia; Limisphaerales.